AUUGAACGCUGGCGGCAGGCCUAACACAUGCAAGUCGAGCGGAUGAAGGGAGCUUGCUCCUGGAUUCAGCGGCGGACGGGUGAGUAAUGCCUAGGAAUCUGCCUGGUAGUGGGGGAUAACGUCCGGAAACGGGCGCUAAUACCGCAUACGCCCUGAGGGAGAAAGUGGGGGAUCUUCGGACCUCACGCUAUCAGAUGAGCCUAGGUCGGAUUAGCUAGUUGGUGGGGUAAAGGCCUACCAAGGCGACGAUCCGUAACUGGUCUGAGAGGAUGAUCAGUCACACUGGAACUGAGACACGGUCCAGACUCCUACGGGAGGCAGCAGUGGGGAAUAUUGGACAAUGGGCGAAAGCCUGAUCCAGCCAUGCCGCGUGUGUGAAGAAGGUCUUCGGAUUGUAAAGCACUUUAAGUUGGGAGGAAGGGCAGUAAGUUAAUACCUUGCUGUUUUGACGUUGCCAACAGAAUAAGCACCGGCUAACUUCGUG
Molecule: ribosomal RNA, 484 nt
Filed under: uncultured bacterium
Lineage: Bacteria
Description: partial 16S ribosomal RNA
Rfam family: Bacterial small subunit ribosomal RNA
Source: RNAcentral